UACGUAGGGUGCAAGCGUUGUCCGGAAUUAUUGGGCGUAAAGAGCUCGUAGGCGGUCUGUCGCGUCGGCUGUGAAAACCCGAGGCUUAACCUCGGGCCUGCAGUCGAUACGGGCAGACUAGAGUUCGGUAGGGGAGACUGGAAUUCCUGGUGUAGCGGUGAAAUGCGCAGAUAUCAGGAAGAACACCCGUGGCGAAGGCGGUUCUCUGGGACGGUACUGACGCUGAGACGCGAAAGCGUGGGGAGCGAACAGG
Molecule: ribosomal RNA, 253 nt
Filed under: uncultured bacterium
Lineage: Bacteria
Description: partial 16S ribosomal RNA
Rfam family: Bacterial small subunit ribosomal RNA
Source: RNAcentral